AUAUCAAUAAGCGGAGGAAAAGAAACUAACAAGGAUUCCCCUAGUAACUGCGAGUGAAGCGGGAAAAGCUCAAAUUUAAAAUCUGGUGGUCUUUGGCCAUCCGAGUUGUAAUUUAGAGAAGCGUCUUCCGCGCUGGACCGUGCAUAAGUCUCCUGGAAUGGAGCGUCAUAGAGGGUGACAAUCCCGUUCAUGGCUAAUAGCAAAGGUUACGUACGGCUACCGCUGUAGUGAGUCGCGUUCCUUGGGAUUGGAGCGUAAAAGGGUGGUAGAUUCCAUCCAAGGCUAAAUAUAAACACGAGACCGAUAGCGCACAAGUA
Molecule: ribosomal RNA, 317 nt
Filed under: uncultured eukaryote
Lineage: Eukaryota
Description: partial large subunit ribosomal RNA
Rfam family: Eukaryotic large subunit ribosomal RNA
Source: RNAcentral